RNAcentral lists this ribosomal RNA (298 nucleotides) under uncultured bacterium. RNAcentral describes it as "partial 16S ribosomal RNA". It matches the Rfam family "Bacterial small subunit ribosomal RNA", at positions 28 to 334 of the family's 1533-position model. The record is from RNAcentral.
GAUGAACGCUGGCGGCGUGCCUAAUACAUGCAAGUCGAACGCGAGCACUUGUGCUCGAGUGGCGAACGGGUGAGUAAUACAUAAGUAACCUGCCCUAGACAGGGGGACAACAGUUGGAAACGACUGCUAAUACCGCAUAAGCCCACGACCCGGCAUCGGGUUGAGGGAAAGGAGCAAUCCGCUUUGAGAUGGCCUCGCGUCCGAUUAGCUAGUUGGUGGGGUAACGGCCCACCAAGGCAACGAUCGGUAGCCGGACUGAGAGGUUGAACGGCCACAUUGGGACUGAGACACGGCCCAG